AAGUCAGAGAGUGAUUUAAUUUAUGACCCCAAUCUUGGGGUCUUGGGGAUGGAAGUUUAAUUUUCCCCCCCCCCUAAUUUUG
This 82-nucleotide transfer RNA is filed under the name Eurypharynx pelecanoides (pelican eel). RNAcentral describes it as "tRNA-Pro". Lineage: Eukaryota; Metazoa; Chordata; Actinopteri; Anguilliformes; Eurypharyngidae. The record is from RNAcentral.